Molecule: ribosomal RNA, 255 nt
Filed under: uncultured bacterium
Lineage: Bacteria
Description: partial 16S ribosomal RNA
Rfam family: Bacterial small subunit ribosomal RNA
Source: RNAcentral
ACUCCUACGGGAGGCAGCAGUGGGGAAUAUUGCACAAUGGGCGCAAGCCUGAUGCAGCCAUGCCGCGUGUAUGAAGAAGGCCUUCGGGUUGUAAAGUACUUUCAGCAGUGAGGAAGGGUGGGUAUGUUAAUAGCAUAUCUUUGCAAUCGAUUGAUGCUGCAGAAGAAGCACCGGCUAACUCCGUGCCAGCAGCCGCGGUAAUACGGAGGGUGCGAGCGUUAAUGGAAUUUACUGGGCGUAAAAGCGCAUGCAGGU